RNAcentral lists this ribosomal RNA (497 nucleotides) under uncultured bacterium. RNAcentral's name for it is "partial 16S ribosomal RNA". It matches the Rfam family "Bacterial small subunit ribosomal RNA", at positions 28 to 507 of the family's 1533-position model. The record is from RNAcentral.
GAUGAACGCUGGCGGCGUGCCUAAUACAUGCAAGUCGAGCGAACGGACGAGAAGCUUGCUUCUCUGAUGUUAGCGGCGGACGGGUGAGUAACACGUGGAUAACCUACCUAUAAGACUGGGAUAACUUCGGGAAACCGGAGCUAAUACCGGAUAAUAUUUUGAACCGCAUGGUUCAAAAGUGAAAGACGGUCUUGCUGUCACUUAUAGAUGGAUCCGCGCUGCAUUAGCUAGUUGGUAAGGUAACGGCUUACCAAGGCAACGAUGCAUAGCCGACCUGAGAGGGUGAACGGCCCACACGGAACCGGGGACCGGUCCCGGCUCCUUAGGGAGGGAGCCGGUGGGAAUCUUUCGGAGAGGGCCGAAGGCUGACCGAGGAAAGGCGGGGUGGGGAAGGAGGGUUUCCGGUCCGUAAACUCCGUUAAUAGGGAAAAAAAUAAGUUUAAGGAACUGGGGACAUCUUGGCGGUAACUAAACAAAAAGCCACGGCUAACUACGUG